GUUAAAUUAUGGAGUUGAACAAGCAGCUGGGAAGUGCAAGAGUAUAAGAAAACAGAGAGAAUCUGAGAUAGUUCACACAGACAAGAGUAGAAAGUUGGUAAUCGUGAGAAGAUAAGUUAUAAUUUCGCGUUUCUUAACCCUAUCCCUAUGAUAGUAAACCUUGAAAACUAUGUAGAUUACCAAAAAACUGAUAAA
This is a non-coding RNA of Caenorhabditis elegans, 195 nucleotides long. The record is from Ensembl. Lineage: Eukaryota; Metazoa; Nematoda; Chromadorea; Rhabditida; Rhabditidae.